UGAUUGGCGAUAAGCGUGGUACCGAAGCUCUGGAUGUCCACUGGUUUCGACCGGUGGGCGUGGUAGGGGAGCGUUGUAGCGGCCUUGAAGCGGGAACGUAAGUAACCGUGGAGCUUCUACAAGUGAGAAUGCAGACAUGAGUAGCGAAAAGACAGGUUGAAUUCCUGUCCGCCGUAAACCCAAGGUUCCCUGGGGAAGGUUCGUCCUCCCAGGGUUAGUCGGGUCCUAAGUCGAGGCCGAUGGGCGUAGACGAUGGCCAGCAGGUUCAAUAUUCCUGCACCGCCGACAUUUAAGUAUGGGGGACAUGUGUGAGGAGAAGAUCCGGGUGUUGAAUAUCCCGGUUGCGCAAGCUGACGUGGCGACUUCGGUCAAAGCGGAUUCUUUAAAUCAUGCAUCGAGAAAAGCCCAUAUGUAUACUAAGGCGCCCGUACCGGAAACCGACACAGGUGGGUGGGCAUAAAUGUGCCAAGGCGCGUGAGUGAAACCUCGUUAAGGAACUCGGCAAUCUAGCCCCGUAACUUCGGAAGAAGGGGUGCCUCUUUUAUUAGAGGUCGCAGUGAAAUGGGUGUACCGACUGUUUAUCAAAAACACAGCACUCUGCUAACUCGCAAGAGAACGUAUAGGGUGUGACGCGUGACCAAUGCGGAAAGAUUACGGUAAGUGGUUAGCGCAAGCGAAGCUACGAGCCCAAGUCCCCGUGAAUGUCGGCCGUAACUAUAACGGUCCUAAGGUAGCGAAAUUCCUUGUCGGGUAAGUUCCGACCUGCACGAAUCGUGUAACGAGUGCACCGCUGUCUCAACGAGGAGCUCAGCGAAGUUGUAAUGGCGGUGAAGAUGCCGCCUACCCGCAGCAGGACGGAAAGACCCUAUGCACCUUUACUGUACGCUGUUACUGUGUUUUCGGUUUUCAUGCUUAGCGUAAGUGGGAGACUUUGAUACCUUCCUUUCGGGGGAGGUUGAGUCGCCAAUGAAACACCACCCUUGGGGACUGGAAACUCUAACCCUCGCCCAUGAUCUGGGGAGGGGACACUGGCAGCCGGUCAGUUUUACUGGGGCGGUAUCCUCCUAAAGAGUAACGGAGGAGUACGAAGGUUGGCUCAGCCCGGUUGGCAAUCGGGUGACGAGUAUAUGGAUAUAAGCCAGCCUAACUGUGAGACCUACAAGUCGAGCAGAUGCGAAAGCAGGUCCAAGUGAUCCGGUGGUUUGAAAGUGGAAUCGCCAUCGCUCAACGGACAAAAGGUACGCUAGGGAUAACAGGCUGAUCGAGUCCAAGAGCUCAUAUCGACGACUCGGUUUGGCACCUCGAUGUCGGCUCAUCACAUCCUGGGGCUGGAGAAGGUCCCAAGGGUCCGGCUGUUCGCCGGUUAAAGUGGUACGCGAGCUGGGUUCAGAACGUCGCGAGACAGUUCGGUCCUUAUCCGCUGUGGGCGCAGGAAAAUUGAGGGGUUUAAACCUUAGUACGAGAGGACCGGGUUUAACGAACCUCUGGUGUUCCAGUUGUCGUGUCAACGGCAGUGCUGGGCAGCUACGUCCGGAAGGGAUAAGCGCUGAAAGCAUCUAAGCGCCAAGCCUCUCCCAAGAUUGAUUUUCCCUGAAGAGUCGUGGUAGACCACCACGUUGAUAGGUCAUAGGUAUAAGCGCAGUAAUGUGUUCAGCUUAAUGAUACUAAUAACUCGUCCGGCUUGAUCG
Molecule: ribosomal RNA, 1688 nt
Filed under: metagenome
Description: bacterial LSU rRNA
Rfam family: Bacterial large subunit ribosomal RNA
Source: RNAcentral